UAAGCAUAUCAAUAAGCGGAGGAAAAGAAACUAACAAGGAUUCCCCUAGUAACGGCGAGUGAAGCGGGAAGAGCUCAAAUUUGUAAUCUGGCACUUUCAGUGUCCGAGUUGUAAUCUCGAGAAGUAUUUUCCGCGCCGGACCGCAUACAAGUCUGUUGGAAUACAGCGUCAUAGUGGUGAGAACCCCGUAACUGAUGCGGAUGCCCGGUGCUUUGUGAUAUACUUUCGAAGAGUCGAGUUGUUUGGGAAUGCAGCUCAAAUUGGGUGGUAAAUUCCAUCUAAAGCUAAAUAUUGGAGCAAGACCGAUAGCGAACAAGUACCGUGAGGGAAAGAUGAAAAGCACUUUGGAAAGAGAGUUAACAGUACGUGAAAUUGUUGGAAGGGAAACGCUUGAAGUCAGACUUGCUAUUCGGAGUUCAGCCGCAAGGUGUAUUCUUCGAUUUGCAGGCCAGCAUCAGUUUUUGGGGGUGGAAAAUCGUGGUUUGAAGGUAGCAGUUUCGGCUGUGUUAUAGCUUUCCACUGGAUUCAUCUUCGGGGACUGAGGAACGCAGUACGCUUUUUGCAAGGCUCUCGAGCUUUUCGUACUUAGGAUGCUGGUGGAAUGGCUUUAAACGACCCGUC
Molecule: ribosomal RNA, 621 nt
Filed under: Leucosporidium scottii
Lineage: Eukaryota; Fungi; Basidiomycota; Microbotryomycetes; Leucosporidiales; Leucosporidiaceae
Description: LSU rRNA
Rfam family: Eukaryotic large subunit ribosomal RNA
Source: RNAcentral